UACAAUAGGGGUUAAUAAAUUUUAUUGGUUUUGGUAUUUUUAUAUUUUUAUGGGUUUGUUUUUAUUAUUUUAAGGUAAAAUUUUAAUUUUUAAUUUAUGCUUGGGAUUAUAUAUUAUACGAUAAUGUUGUUUUAAACUAGGAUUAGAUACCCUAUUAUUUUCAUUGUAAAUUUGUUGACCUUAGUAUUAAUAGUUAUAGUCUUUAAAUUAAAAGAAUUUGGCGGUAAUUUAAUCUUUCCAGAGGAACCUGUCCUGUAAUUGAUAAUCCACGUUGAAUUUUACUUUAAUUUUGUUUGUAUACCUCUGUCAUUGAAUGUUUUUAAAGGAUAUUUUCUUUUUUCUUUUUAGGGAAAAAUGUUAGGUCAAGGUGCAGCUAUGUUAAAGUUUGAGAUGGGUUACAUUGUUUAUAUUUUUGGAAAUUUUGUUGUAAUACAUUAUUGAAAUUGGAUUUGGAAGUAAUUUAUAUUAUUUAAUAUACUUGAUUUUGGCACUAAAUUAUGUACACAUCGCCCGUCACUCUCGUUUUAAGAUGAG
RNAcentral lists this ribosomal RNA (534 nucleotides) under Nepa hoffmanni. RNAcentral's name for it is "partial 12S ribosomal RNA". Lineage: Eukaryota; Metazoa; Arthropoda; Insecta; Hemiptera; Nepidae. The record is from RNAcentral.